RNAcentral lists this ribosomal RNA (371 nucleotides) under uncultured Glomeromycotina. Its description in RNAcentral is "partial large subunit ribosomal RNA". Lineage: Eukaryota; Fungi; Glomeromycota. The record is from RNAcentral.
UUGAAAGGGAAACGAUUGAAGUCAGUCGUACCUGCGGGUAAUCAGCCUUUUGGGCAUGAUUCUGUGGAGCGUGAGGAGUUAAACGCCUUCAUGCCUGCAUAUUCGUGUACUUUGGGUGUACUUGCCUGUGUGGUUAGUUAACAUCAAUUUUGGUUAUCAUAAUUGGUUGGAGGAAUGUAGCUUCGAUUUCGAUUGAAGUGUUAUAGCCUUCGGCAGAUGUGAUGAUCGGGAUUGAGGAUUGCAACGGAUACCCUUCGGGCUUACCUGUCUGAUUUCUGAUCGUUGCUCUGGUGCCGAAAGCUUGCUUACGGUUAUCAAAGUCGAUGGUCAAUAGGUUAGAAUGGGUUAAAUUCGUUAAGGAUGUUGACGUA